Myiozetetes cayanensis is the source of this 2980-nucleotide long non-coding RNA. RefSeq lists it as uncharacterized. The transcript is spliced from 3 exons. Lineage: Eukaryota; Metazoa; Chordata; Aves; Passeriformes; Tyrannidae. The record is from RefSeq and is a predicted model, not a curated record.
AUUUCCUGCUAUUUUGCUUUCUCUUUGUUGCAGGUGCAAAGAAGAUAUACUACCCCUCAGGGUUUCAUGCUUUCUUCCUUUUACCACGAGGAUGGUCAAUAAACUGGGGGGAAAGCCAACUCACAAAUGACAUUUUAGAUGCUAAUGGGAGGAGAAAGAAUGGAAAGAGAAUUUUCCCAAACUGAAUAUAACCCUUGCCUCUAAAAAUCACAGGUCUCUGGUCCUGGAUGUCCAUACCACAGACUUGUUAGUUUGAUCGCAGUUUCUUCUUGAAAAAUGCAAGUAGUUCUGCUUGCAGGAAAAUGUGGUUUUGACACAGAGAAUAACUCCUUCCAUAAGGUGAACCCUUAUGUCUCACUCUUCCUAUCUGAGAAAGUUGUCUAGCAAUAAUACCUCAGUAGGCCAUGAAAAGGAGCCAAGGGAACAGCCUUUAUUGAAAGGGAGAUAAGCACUGCAAGAGCACAGAACCAAGAGGUUGAGACAAGCUUGGAGCCACUACAUCCCAAUUCCACUAAACCUCAUCACCUGUGUGAAAGGGACAUAGAGCUAGGACUGCCAUGCUCUUCUCAGCAACAACCCUUCUGUCCUAGGUCACCUCCCUGGUGACUGAGAGUGGGAUGCAUCCUUACUGCAGCCUCUGAAUCCUGAGUGACACUCUGUGAUGCUCUACUACUCUCCUGGCAGUCCUGAACCCAGUGCUUCCCUCCCACUUGUGUGUCAUGGUUCAUUGCCUCAUGUGGGAACUGCUCCUGCAGUCCUCAGGAAAAAGGAAAAGAGCACUAUUCAGAGCUGUGGUCUUGACCAAAAACAUGAGAUGCUGGGAAACAACUCCAGUAAAUAUGUCCCCCGUUUCCUGCUGGUGAUACACAGUUGAUUCCUCCAGCAAUUAACAAUUUCUGUAUGAGAUGAACUAAGUGGACCUAGACACUGGUAGAGAUGAGUGAGGAAGACUAAGGAGGCUGUAGGAUAAAGAGUGACACUGAGAGGGUGGAUACUAACUGAUCAAAGUCUUUAUCUAUAUGAGGGCUUAGGGGAAUGAAAUGAAGUUGGAAAAUGGUAGGCCCAAAGUAAAUAAAAGUCAAGUGUUCUUGGAAUAGCCAGUUAUUAUUCUGUGAAAUGCCUUGCUACAGCAUCUUGUGAAAGUUAACGUCUUUCAACAGCAACUGGACACAUUAGAAAAAAAACCAUCAAAAGUUAUUAGAUAUAAUCACAUUUUUCUUAUGAUGUCCCCUGUGUUGGAGGUGAGAAAAGCGUUGUUUUGGAAGUGCUACUAGCUUUUAACUUCUCACAUUCUCUGAGCAUAUCUGGUUGUGGCCACUGUAGGAGUCAACACCCUGGAGUUUUGUUGUAUGCUCACAAGGCCUUUCCCAUUUACUUGAACCGUUUUCUGAAGGAUGAGCCACAUCAUGCCAAGGCUUUCAGAUACUACAGAAUGGCAGCAGGCAAUACACUCCAGAGAUGUAAGAUAAAUAUGGCCCAUAGACCUGCAUGGGAGGGUGGUCAUCUCCCAUGGGCUGUAUGAGCAGGGUGAUGUCAUGUGUUAAAUAGAUGAGAAGCUGUGGUUUGUGUCAGAGGGCCUUCUUGUUAUGAGGAGUCAAAUGUUCUGGGCUAACAAACUCUAUGCAACCGCACGUGCCACCUGAUGUAUAUCAUGGACAUGGAAGGUCCAUGCAAGUGUGAUUGUCUGUACAAUGUGAAUAUAAGGUGGUCCUUAUCAAUGGACCAUGGACGAAUAUUUGUUCCCUUAAAUAGAUUUCAAAGUCUGCAUGAAUAAAAUCAUGGAAGUAAGUGACCAAUUAUUUUUCAUAUAAACUAAAUACCAAAAUAGGGGUUUUUUGAGGAUUAUUUACUCCUAUAUUAAUAAAAAUGUUGUCUCAAGAAGGUAAAAAAUUUUAAGGAUUAUUUAAAUUGUGUUUCUGUUUUGAGUUCAAAAGAAGGCAUCGAGAAAAAUAAGGGGACUGUGUUGAAAUUACUACCAUUGUUAUUAAAAACAAUUCUUUUGAGCCUGUGUCUAGGUUGGAGGGAGUAAUAAACAUUUCAAAAAUCAAGGGCAGAUUUACAAGGGCUGAACAACUGUAGUAAGAAUUUCAAAGGAGCUCAUCUCCUAUUCAAACUAUGAUUAAUCUGUCAUUUGUUCUUAAAUUUAAAUGCUAUCAAUUUUACUUUUAGGAAAUGUUACUAUAGAACCAGGAGUAAAGCCAAGACACUAUUAUUUUCCCGGUACAGUAUCUCUUCAGGUGGUCAGGUUUGGCACAGGGAAAGGGUGAUUAUGCUUUGUUUAUCUACUAUAGAAUUUUAGGGAAAUGCAAACACAGAUCUCUUAAAUAUUCAGUAGAUUCCAUUCUGAAUAGAAAAAUGCAAAUACCCUAUCUGAUUUAUUAAAGAUGUCAACAAAGCCAGCAUAAUCUGACAAUUUAAACAAUUUGUUCAUGGUUAACAUUCAUUUCAGUCUCUCCUUAAUCCCAAAUCAUAAUUGAAUCUAACUAACUUUUAUCUGACACCAAGAAGAUUGAGUCUGUUCUAAGAAUGUUCACUCUGUAAUUGAGAGAAAUGGAUAUCCUGAGCUCUGAAGUCCACUUUGAAGACAAAUAAUCUUGAAACAUGUCAUUGGAUAAACAGUAUUUGUAUCACCCCCAAAAGUAAAUAGAUUUGGAGAUCAAAUGAUGAUUGCUAGUAAAAACUUAGAGGUUUUUCUUUAAAUGUGGUUAUUUUCCAGAAUUAUCUGUACUCAAGCUGUCUCAGAAUACAGAGAUAACAUGGGGUAAAAAUAUCCUAAUGACAAUGAAAAGAAUUUGUUUAUGUAUGGCACAUUCCUUAAUUGUGUGAAACAAUCAUAGGAAUAUUAAUUCCCCUCUUGAUGAAGAAACCAACACUUCAGUUACUUUAAGAAAAUAGAAAAAAUGCCUCCCUGAUUCAGCACAGAAUUCAUUCAAGCCUGUAAAAAUUUGUAUUAAUUCCAUAUAUCAUUGUUAUAAAAACU